CACCUCUAGCCAAUUAACACAUAUUAGAGGCACUGCCUGCCCAGUGAUAACAUUUAACGGCCGCGGUAUUCUGACCGUGCAAAGGUAGCAUAAUCACUUGUCUUUUAAAUAAAGACUAGUAUGAACGGCAACACGAAAGCUUAACUGUCUCCUUUAUCUAGUCAAUGAAAUUGAUCUUCCCGUACAAAAGCGAGAAUACAUAAACAAGACGAGAAGACCCUAUGGAACUUCAAACACAUAUUCACUACUUAUAAAUUCCAUAUUUAAAAAUUACUGACAUAUUGUUUUUGGUUGGGGUGACCACGGAGAAAAACUUAACCUCCGAAAAUAAUACUAAGAUAUACAUUUCAAAGUGCUAAACUUUAGACCUUAUGACCCAAUAAAUUUGAUCAACGAACCAAGCUACCCUAGGGAUAACAGCGCAAUCUUCUCCAAGAGCCCCUAUCGACAAGAAGGUUUACGACCUCGAUGUUGGAUCAGGAUUACCAGAUAGUGCAGCCGCCAUCAAAGGUUUGUUUGUUCAACAAUUAAAAUCCU
Molecule: ribosomal RNA, 537 nt
Filed under: Gegeneophis danieli
Lineage: Eukaryota; Metazoa; Chordata; Amphibia; Gymnophiona; Indotyphlidae
Description: partial 16S ribosomal RNA
Rfam family: Bacterial large subunit ribosomal RNA
Source: RNAcentral